Molecule: ribosomal RNA, 610 nt
Filed under: Enterobacter cloacae
Lineage: Bacteria; Pseudomonadati; Pseudomonadota; Gammaproteobacteria; Enterobacterales; Enterobacteriaceae
Description: bacterial SSU rRNA
Rfam family: Bacterial small subunit ribosomal RNA
Source: RNAcentral
CGGUAGCACAGAGAGCUUGCUCUCGGGUGACGAGUGGCGGACGGGUGAGUAAUGUCUGGGAAACUGCCUGAUGGAGGGGGAUAACUACUGGAAACGGUAGCUAAUACCGCAUAACGUCGCAAGACCAAAGAGGGGGACCUUCGGGCCUCUUGCCAUCAGAUGUGCCCAGAUGGGAUUAGCUAGUAGGUGGGGUAACGGCUCACCUAGGCGACGAUCCCUAGCUGGUCUGAGAGGAUGACCAGCCACACUGGAACUGAGACACGGUCCAGACUCCUACGGGAGGCAGCAGUGGGGAAUAUUGCACAAUGGGCGCAAGCCUGAUGCAGCCAUGCCGCGUGUAUGAAGAAGGCCUUCGGGUUGUAAAGUACUUUCAGCGGGGAGGAAGGUGUUGUGGUUAAUAACCGCAGCAAUUGACGUUACCCGCAGAAGAAGCACCGGCUAACUCCGUGCCAGCAGCCGCGGUAAUACGGAGGGUGCAAGCGUUAAUCGGAAUUACUGGGCGUAAAGCGCACGCAGGCGGUCUGUCAAGUCGGAUGUGAAAUCCCCGGGCUCAACCUGGGAACUGCAUUCGAAACUGGCAGGCUAGAGUCUUGUAGAGGGGGGUAGAAUU